This 220-nucleotide ribozyme is filed under the name Asterionellopsis glacialis. RNAcentral describes it as "partial Bacterial RNase P class A". It matches the Rfam family "Bacterial RNase P class A", at positions 146 to 357 of the family's 367-position model. From Rfam's summary of the family: Ribonuclease P (RNase P) is a ubiquitous endoribonuclease, found in archaea, bacteria and eukarya as well as chloroplasts and mitochondria. Its best characterised activity is the generation of mature 5'-ends of tRNAs by cleaving the 5'-leader elements of precursor-tRNAs. Cellular RNase Ps are ribonucleoproteins. Lineage: Eukaryota; Bacillariophyta; Plagiogrammaphyceae; Rhaphoneidales; Asterionellopsidaceae. The record is from RNAcentral.
UGGUAAGGGUGAAAUGGUGGAGUAAGAGCCCACCGCGUUGUAGGUGACUGCAACGGCAGUGUAAACCCCGUGUGUUGAAAAACCAAAUAGGCUGUGCAUUUUGGGCUGCUCGUCCAAGUUUCUCUUGUAGAAUGGCACAGUGGGUAGGUUGAUUGAGUCUGUUGGCAACAGCAGGUCUAGAUAAAUGGCAGGACUCGACAGAACCCGGCUUAUAGGUCAC